UACAUGGGGUGCAAACGUUGUCCGGAAUCAUUGGGCGUAAAGAGCGUGUAGGCGGUCCGGUAAGUCGGCUGUGAAAGUCCAGGGCUCAACCCUGGGAUGCCGGUCGAUACUGCCGGACUAGAGUUCGGAAGAGGCGAGUGGAAUUCCCGGUGUAGCGGUGAAAUGCGUAGAUAUUGGGAAGAACACCGGUGGCGAAGGCGGCCAUCUGGACCGGCACUGACGCUGAGGCGCGAAAGCCAGGGGAGCGAAUGGG
This 253-nucleotide ribosomal RNA is filed under the name uncultured bacterium. RNAcentral's name for it is "partial 16S ribosomal RNA". It matches the Rfam family "Bacterial small subunit ribosomal RNA", at positions 524 to 776 of the family's 1533-position model. The record is from RNAcentral.